Long non-coding RNA from Gadus morhua (Atlantic cod), 2120 nucleotides. RefSeq lists it as uncharacterized. The transcript is spliced from 3 exons. Lineage: Eukaryota; Metazoa; Chordata; Actinopteri; Gadiformes; Gadidae. The record is from RefSeq and is a predicted model, not a curated record.
GACAUAUAAAUAGGCCUUCACAUUGACCUAAUAAGUGUGUUUGCCCUAUAUUGCAAUAAUAAAGAGUCCCAUUUUAAUGGCCUAUAUUUCCUAUUGCAUAACGCACAUGCAAUAAACCAGACUACUGCAGUCAUAUGGCUGUGGUGAGAUCACACGCACAGCCAAUAUAAAUAUGUACAAGCUGUACCGCGCACGGCCACAUGGUGGCAGUAGGGAGCAGGGUUUCUGCUCGACUGAUUUGCUUUCACCAAUCACCGCAGGGUCACGUCUAAUCUAUAAAUCCACGCUGAACAGCGCUCGUUUCGACCAGUUGCCCACCUCCUCAAGCCAGGCCUCCUCCAGCCAGGCGCGCUGCGCAAGGUGAGAGUGAGCUAAUUACAAUAUUACUCUCUACAGUGCGCCGCCGUGUAAUGAAAUGACCGCAUCCACUUAGCUUAAAGCCAAUUUGGUAAGAUAGUGUAAUGUCACGUAGGUUGAAACACAUAAAUAACCAGCUAGUCCCUGUGUUGAUAUCAUAACAUGUUUUAUGACCACGAUGAAGCAUAGAAAUCUUCCUACAAAGGAGGCCUAGAUAAAAGAUAAAACAAGCCUCUCUGUCUGUUUGAUCCAUUAGACGCAGAGACAAACGCCGGUGAAUGAGAAGAAUAACACGGGAUUGAGAGUUAGGCUUUUAAUUACUCCAAGUACUUUCUUUAGUGCUGAGUGCUUUCUAUAGGAGCAAUUUGUUGGAGUAGAUAACAGCCCUUUUCUCCCGAUUUCUUUCUCUCACACAGGUACUCGGGGGCGGUUCGCUCUGAUGCGGGGCAGCAAUCAAUUGCUCAUUCUUACCCGGACGACAGCGGCCUGCAGCCCUCAGAGACGCUAAUUCAACCACCAGUCAGCCUGUUUGGAUCCCGGCUGGACGUUUGUAAAGAUUCACAGCGACCACGAGCCAAGUCCGCUGUGUUUGAGGACCGCCCGAGGCUGCCUCGCCUCGUCCAGGAACCGCCGGGCCGCGGGGCUGAUGGCUCAUUGUGCCGCUCCCCGGUCAGCCGCAGAUUACGGGGGGAGGGGGUCUCAUGCUCCAUGAUUUGAUUGUGCUGUUCCAGUCCUGAGGAGCCUGACCAGAGAGCGUCUGCGGGCCCGCCAGAUGAUGAGGACGUCCCAGAUGAUGAGGACCUCUGAGAAGAACGCCAUCCAGCCCAUCCUGCUGGGGAAUAAACUCACGGCAACGAAGGUAGUCGCCCCGCUGGGGUGCUGGAUCUCAAAUGACCUGCCUGGACUUCUAUUUAAACCUGCUGUGGGUCCGCCGUGGGCCUGUAUACCACUGUAGUACUGCAGGGGACGGCCCUAUGUCCGUUCCUCUUCCCCCUGUAAACCUUGGCCUCUGUCCACCAUACACUAUCCGCUUGGACAACAAGCUUGACUGGACAGUGUUCUCCAUGUCAGUCUACAUGUAGGGGCAGACUCUACCUCCUGAGGAAGUGAGCUGCCGACAUUAGAAGACCGAUGGGAGCAUGGUGCGGAUGCUCUGUGAGUCUCUUCUAGGCUUGGGUGAAUCUGGAACAGCAGCAUGACUAAACAGCUUGUUAAGUCCAACACUCUCCUGACAAUGAUCAGGAUGGCCGGCGUGUUCUGGGGUAGAACUGGACCCCCUGUAGCCGUCAGAGAAAAGAGACUGUGCAAAACCCCUCUCUACCCUUGAUAAUGACUCCGGACUGCAGUCUGAACAGAGAAGUCUGUUCAGCAGUUGACGCCUGGCAUUGAGGAGGUCCACCGGGUGGUUCGGGAAAACCUUAAUUCCUGUGGACAGAGAAGUCUUUAACUCCUCUCACCACCGCCAGGUCACUCUAUACUGCACUGUCGUGGAAUUCAGUCAAUUUGAACAUUUUAGGAUUUAUCGUAUCAAGAUGAUCUGUGCUACAUACCUGUGACAAUUUAUUUAAUUUCAGUUACAUAGCUACUUCAUUUUAUGUACAAACAUUCAGCUGUUAUAAAUGUCAUCAUAUUUGAUCCAUAAUUAGAAUAUGUAUAUUUAUGGAGUGUUUUGUGUUUGUAUUUAUUUUUGAUGUUUGUUCUAUUUGCAUUGAAGUUUCUGGCUUGUGAUUAGAGACUGUAACAAAAUAAAUUCUUCCGGGAUC